CAAUGGGCGAAAGCCUGAACCAGCAACGCCGCGUGUGCGAUGAAGGCCUUCGGGUCGUAAAGCACUUUUCUGGGAGAUGAGAAAGGACAGUAUCUCAGGAAUAAGUCUCGGCUAACUACGUGCCAGCAGCCGCGGUAAAACGUAGGAGGCGAGCGUUAUCCGGAUUCACUGGGCGUAAAGCGCGUGCAGGUGGUUCGGUAAGUUGGGCGUGAAAUCUCCUGGCUCAACUGGGAGAGGUCGUCCAAUACUACCGAACUUGAGAGCAGAAGAGGAAGAUGGAAUUCCCGGUGUAGUGGUGAAAUGCGUAGAUAUCGGGAGGAACACCAGUGGCGAAGGCGAUCUUCUGGUCUGUUUCUGACACUCAGACGCGACAGCUAGGGUAGUAAACGGGAUUAGAGACCCCGGUAAUCCUAGCCGUAAACGAUGUGAACUUGGCGUUGGUGGGUUAAACUCCAUCAGUGCCGAAGCAAACGCGAUAAGUUCACCGCCUGGGGACUACGGCCGCAAGGUUA
Molecule: ribosomal RNA, 512 nt
Filed under: uncultured Chloroflexota bacterium
Lineage: Bacteria; Bacillati; Chloroflexota
Description: bacterial SSU rRNA
Rfam family: Bacterial small subunit ribosomal RNA
Source: RNAcentral